This 575-nucleotide ribosomal RNA is filed under the name Klebsiella planticola. RNAcentral's name for it is "bacterial SSU rRNA". It matches the Rfam family "Bacterial small subunit ribosomal RNA", at positions 173 to 737 of the family's 1533-position model. Lineage: Bacteria; Pseudomonadati; Pseudomonadota; Gammaproteobacteria; Enterobacterales; Enterobacteriaceae. The record is from RNAcentral.
AACGUCGCAAGACCAAAGUGGGGGACCUUCGGGCCUCAUGCCAUCAGAUGUGCCCAGAUGGGAUUAGCUAGUAGGUGGGGUAAUGGCUCACCUAGGCGACGAUCCCUAGCUGGUCUGAGAGGAUGACCAGCCACACUGGAACUGAGACACGGUCCAGACUCCUACGGGAGGCAGCAGUGGGGAAUAUUGCACAAUGGGCGCAAGCCUGAUGCAGCCAUGCCGCGUGUAUGAAGAAGGCCUUCGGGUUGUAAAGUACUUUCAGCGAGGAGGAAGGCAUUAAGGUUAAUAACCUUGGUGAUUGACGUUACUCGCAGAAGAAGCACCGGCUAACUCCGUGCCAGCAGCCGCGGUAAUACGGAGGGUGCAAGCGUUAAUCGGAAUUACUGGGCGUAAAGCGCACGCAGGCGGUUUGUUAAGUCAGAUGUGAAAUCCCCGGGCUCAACCUGGGAACUGCAUUUGAAACUGGCAAGCUUGAGUCUUGUAGAGGGGGGUAGAAUUCCCGGUGUAACGGGUGAAAAUGCGUAGAGAUUCUGGAGGGAAUACCCGGUGGGCGAAAGGCCGGCCCCCCCUGGGAA